ACAAAACCUACUCCACAAACACCAUCGAAACACAUCAUCCAAAAUUAGAACUUCUCUCUCAAUUACAUCUUCGGCAAAACAGUAGAGUCAGAUGGAAGGCCAGGUUCCGCCUCAAGGUAUUUUGUUAACAAGGUGGCCGUGCUGAAAUUAAAGCCCUUUAUCGGCUCCCCCUUGGUUCGAGAGAGGUUUAGUUGCUUCCUCACUUGCGAGGCCAGUGACUUGCCUAACUCAACACCCCACUGGUCAAAUGAGUUGAUGCCCCAUAUAAAACCUUCAACAGCAAUUCUGUGCUCAUAAAUAGCCAACAGCUGUCCAACAUUAUAAG
This 325-nucleotide unclassified non-coding RNA is filed under the name Hevea brasiliensis (rubber tree). Lineage: Eukaryota; Viridiplantae; Streptophyta; Magnoliopsida; Malpighiales; Euphorbiaceae. The record is from RNAcentral.